Long non-coding RNA from Numida meleagris (helmeted guineafowl), 489 nucleotides. RefSeq lists it as uncharacterized. The transcript is spliced from 3 exons. NCBI's taxonomy places the organism in Eukaryota, Metazoa, Chordata, Aves, Galliformes, Numididae. The record is from RefSeq and is a predicted model, not a curated record.
GAGGGGGUGAAAGUUGAUGCUAUAGCAGCAAAAAAAGGAAAAAAAAAAAAUAUUUUCUGAGUUUGUGGAGCUGGGACAUCUAAUGAAGCCCAGGCCCUGGAAGCAGGGCUGGAGAUGUUCUGUGGAUGCACAGGGAGCAGAGGAUCUGCUGCAAGGAGGAUGGGUCCUCACUGCCAUGGAUAACCAGGUCAUUUGCUGCCUCUUACAGCAAUCAGCAAGGAACAACGGGAAGCACCAGCAAGAGCUCCCCUCCUCCCCAGGUCCUCCAGAAUGCAAGAGAAGGGACAUGUUGAGGUCGAGGCUGGAGGAGAGGGCCAAGCGUGUCACCGAGCACGAGGCACCGCUGUGCAUUUCACCCCUGCUGAAGGAAACCAUCCCCAGCGAAGCCAGUGAGGCUGUCAGCCCCAGAAGAAGUGACAAUAAGCACCAGGAGGGCGAUGAAAAGCAACAGAAACAUCUCCACCAUUUUUUUUUUCCUUCCGAUAAAGG